RNAcentral lists this ribosomal RNA (391 nucleotides) under uncultured bacterium. RNAcentral's name for it is "bacterial SSU rRNA". It matches the Rfam family "Bacterial small subunit ribosomal RNA", at positions 99 to 475 of the family's 1533-position model. The record is from RNAcentral.
CGGACGGGUGAGUAACACGUGGGCAACCUGCCUGUAAGACUGGGAUAUCAUCGGGAAACCGAUGCUAAUACCGGAUAAUUCCUUUCCUCUCAUGAGGAAAGGCUGAAAGAUGGCAUCUCGCUAUCACUUACAGAUGGGCCCGCGGCGCAUUAGCUAGUUGGUGAGGUAACGGCUCACCAAGGCAACGAUGCGUAGCCGACCUGAGAGGGUGAUCGGCCACACUGGGACUGAGACACGGCCCAGACUCCUACGGGAGGCAGCAGUAGGGAAUCUUCCGCAAUGGACGAAAGUCUGAUGGAGCAACGCCGCGUGAGUGAUGAAGGUUUUCGGAUCGUAAAACUCUGUUGUUAGGGAAGAACAAGUGCCGGAGUAACUGCCGGCGCCUUGACGG